UACGUAGGUGGCAAGCGUUGUCCGGAAUUACUGGGCGUAAAGCGUGCGCAGGCGGUUAUGUAAGACAGAUGUGAAAUCCCCGGGCUCAACCUGGGAACUGCAUUUGUGACUGCAUAGCUAGAGUACGGUAGAGGGGGAUGGAAUUCCGCGUGUAGCAGUGAAAUGCGUAGAUAUGCGGAGGAACACCGAUGGCGAAGGCAAUCCCCUGGACCUGUACUGACGCUCAUGCACGAAAGCGUGGGGAGCAAACAGG
RNAcentral lists this ribosomal RNA (253 nucleotides) under uncultured bacterium. Its description in RNAcentral is "partial 16S ribosomal RNA". It matches the Rfam family "Bacterial small subunit ribosomal RNA", at positions 524 to 776 of the family's 1533-position model. The record is from RNAcentral.